GUGGGGAAUUUUGGACAAUGGGCGCAAGCCUGAUCCAGCAAUGCCGCGUGCAGGAUGAAGGCCUUCGGGUUGUAAACUGCUUUUGUACGGAACGAAAAAGCUCUCUCUAAUACAGGGGGUGAAUGACGGUACCGUAAGAAGAAGCACCGGCUAACUACGUGCCAGCAGCCGCGGUAAUACGUAGGGUGCGAGCGUUAAUCGGAAUUACUGGUCGUAAAGCGCGCGUAGGUGGUUUGGUAAGAUGGAUGUGAAAUCCCCGGGCUCAACCUGGGAACUGCAUCCAUAACUGCCUGACUAGAGUACGGUAGAGGGUGGUGGAAUUUCCUGUGUAGCGGUGAAAUGCGUAGAUAUAGGAAGGAACACCAGUGGCGAAGGCGACCACCUGGACUGAUACUGACACUGAGGUGCGAAAGCGUGGGGAGCAAACA
This 428-nucleotide ribosomal RNA is filed under the name uncultured bacterium. Its description in RNAcentral is "bacterial SSU rRNA". It matches the Rfam family "Bacterial small subunit ribosomal RNA", at positions 354 to 774 of the family's 1533-position model. The record is from RNAcentral.